CCUACGGGAGACAGCAGUGGGGAAUAUUGCACAAUGGGGGAAACCCUGAUGCAGCGACGCCGCGUGAGUGAAGAAGUAUUUCGGUACGUAAAGCUCUAUCAGCAGGGAAGAAAAUGACGGUACCUGACUAAGAAGCCCCGGCUAACUACGUGCCAGCAGCCGCGGUAAUACGUAAGGGGCAAGCGUUAUCCGGAUUUACUGGGUGUAAAGGGAGCGUAGACGGCAGCGCAAGUCUGGAGUGAAAUCCCAUGGCUUAACCAUGGAACUGCUUUGGAAACUGUGCAGCUAGAGUGCAGGAGAGGUAAGCGGAAUGCCUGGUGUAGCGGUGAAAUGCGUAGAUAUUAGGAGGAACACCAGUGGCGAAGGCGGCUUACUGGACUGUAACUGACGUUGAGGCUCGAAAGCGUGGGGAGCAAACAGGAUUAGAUACCCGAGUAGUC
RNAcentral lists this ribosomal RNA (440 nucleotides) under uncultured bacterium. Its description in RNAcentral is "partial 16S ribosomal RNA". It matches the Rfam family "Bacterial small subunit ribosomal RNA", at positions 338 to 795 of the family's 1533-position model. The record is from RNAcentral.